Diabrotica virgifera virgifera (western corn rootworm) is the source of this 4315-nucleotide long non-coding RNA. RefSeq lists it as uncharacterized. The transcript is spliced from 3 exons. The record is from RefSeq and is a predicted model, not a curated record. NCBI's taxonomy places the organism in Eukaryota, Metazoa, Arthropoda, Insecta, Coleoptera, Chrysomelidae.
CCACGUUUCAAAUGAUUUCUUUUCUUUUCUGCUCCUCAGAUGCAUCCGUCAAGUACUUAGGACCUACUUCGAGAGAAGACUUAAUUUCAGAAAGCACACGCAGCAAAUCAAGGUAAAAGCGAAUUUAGCGAAAAUACUAAUUCAAUCUUAUAUUUUCAGGUCCAGGUCCAGACUCCUAACGAAGGCCAAGAAAAUCCAGCUGUUCCAGGCCUACGUUAGGUCGGUGAUACUAUAUGCAGCCCCAGCAUGUUAAUUGACGGGUCGACAUGGGAUGAGAGGAGGUCAAAUUCAACCAUCAGAGAAAGACUCCAGUACACACCACUGAGGGAGUUGGUCGAGAACAUGACAAGGUACUUCUUUGACCAAGCCAAAAGUAAAUUCCUUAAGUUACCUCUUAAGUAACUCCUUAAAUUCAGAAACUGUAUACUGAAGAUGUACCGAAAAAACACAGACUGAUCGACCAUCUGCUCAAGGUCAAGCCAGGUGGUUCCUGAAGACAACCGGUCAGAGAAGUACAGUGGAACCCCGAUAAGUCGGCCCCCGAUAACCAGGGAGUCCGGCUAACCCGGACCGAUUUUCAUCAGACAAACAUUUCAACAAUAAAAAUGUAUGUAAUAUAAUAUUUGAGAGAUAAUGUGUAUUUGUGUAAUUUGAACUAUACGAUAGCAAAAAUGACUCAUGGCACACGGCGGCAGGCCGAUUACACAGGUUUACAAAAAAAAUAUUUUUUAAAAUUGUUUGGAAUUUGAUAACUGAUUUUUAUGUAUUUUUCAGCGCUGAUUGCAAAAAUGCAAUCCAUUUUUUUUCUAUCACGUAAGGUUUUCUCACAAAAAAGGAAUUACUUUUUGGUAUAAUAACAAAAUUUUAGCAAUUUUUCAAAUUUUUUCUUAAGUUAAAGGAUUUUAUUUCAUGUAUAAUACAUGUUAUAAACUACAUAUCUAGUACACUUACAUUUCUCUUUAAGCUCAUAAGUCCUUUUAGUAACGCUUUUGCUUUCCGUCGAAGCUUCUUUUAUUGCUUUUCCGGCUGUGUACUCGUUGAGGGUCAUCUCGUUUUAGCAUCCAGCAGUAGUCCGCUAUCAUGUUGACGUUCCAUCUUCCUUGAUACCUUCUUUCCAUUUCCUUGAUAUCUUGGUGGAAUCUUUCACCUUCUCUUCACUUACAUCACCAAGGUUUGCAGGGAAGUAGUCUAGAUGUGAAUGGAGGAAAUGAACUUUAAUGCUCAUGUUACAUCCCAGCUUCUUAAAGUUGUCGAGCAUGUCUGCGACGAUUGUCUUGUAGUUAGGAUCUUUUUUGUUUCCUAGGAAACCGGUAACAACUAGUUUAAAAGAUGACCAUGCUGCUUUUUCGUUUGUUUCCAUUUUGUCCAUAAAAUUGGGAUCUCUCAUCAGUUUUCUAAUGUCUGGUCCGACAAAGACUCCUUCCUUUAGUUUUGCCUCGGAUAAACCAGGAAACUGUCCACAGAGAUACUUGAAACACUCCCCUUCUUUUGGCAACACCUUUACAAAUUGUUUCAUUAACCCCAACUUAAUGUGGAGUGGUGGUAGUAAUACCUUUUUGGGAUCCACAAGGCUUUUCCUCUCAACAUUUUUAACCCCCACCUGUAAGGUUUUUCUCAAGGGCCAAACUUUUUUAAUGUAGUGUUGCUUUCUGUCUCUACUGUCCCAUUCACAGAGAAAGCAAGGGAACUUUGUAUAACCACUUUGUUGACCAAGCAGCAUUGAGAUCACUUUCAAAUUACCACAUAGUGUCCAUUUAUGGUCUGAAUAGCAGAGUUUGUUUAAAACCAGUUCGAGGUUUUCAUAACAUUCUUUCAAGUGAACAGAAUGUCCAACUGGCAUAGAAGCAGCAUACUUAUUGCCAUUGCGUAGAAGCACUGCUUUAAGGCUUCUUUUUGAAGAAUCUUUAAAAAGUCUCCACUCAUCAGGAGCAUAUUCUAUUUUGAAACGUGCCAUAAGUCCAGGAACAUCACUGCAAAACACCAAGUCACCUUCUUGAGAGAAAAAAGAUACAAACUCCUUUUCCCUGGAACGAUACCAAGAAAAGGACGUACCCGGAGCCAACAUAUUUUUAUCUUUUAAUCUAGACCCUAAAAGUUCUGCCGAGUCUUUAGGAACACCUAGGUCUCUAACUAAAUCAUUCAGUUCAGAUUGUGAGAAUGGAAUGGGAUCGGUUGUGCCAGGAUCGUAGCCAUCACUGUCUUCUUCACUUUCACCUAGCUGAGCCAAUGGCUCGUGGUCAUCUAAAAUACCAUCCAAAGAAACUGGAGGAGAGGGUAUUGGUACUUCAGGUCCAUGAGGAACAGGGCGAAUGGCUGAUUUGAUGUUAGGGUAAGAAAUAUCCUUUUUGUUUUUCAAAUUGAAACCUUGAACAUUGCAAGAACAAAAAUAGCAGUCAUCACUAUGGUUUUUGGGCUCCCUCCAAACCAUUGGUAUUCCAAAACGAAAUGACUGCUUUUUACCUUGAAACCAUUGUCUCAGUUCUUCAACACACACUGAACAAACUUUGUGUAGGGCCCAAGACUUGUCUUGAUCACCCAACUUUAUACCAAAAUACGCAAAAUAUACCUUUUCAACAAAAUCGGAAAUGUUUCUUUGUUGCUUUUUAACUGUAUAGUUACCACAAAUGUAGCAGAAGCAAUCUGGUGAGUUGAUACAUCUUCUGGUAGCCAUUUUUCAUAAAACAACUUCACACGCACAAGAAAACAAUCUGUUUAGGCUGAUGCCUUGAAUUAUGUUCUUUGUAGUUCGAUAAAAAAUCACUGAAAGUUAUUUGAUUCACACUUUAUUGCCAACUAUCCGUGUGUCACGAGAUAUCAUUUAAUACUACUCUCACAAUCACUACUUCAAAUCACUAGUAACCACAGCACGUGAACAGCACAGAGUGAAGAGAUACUGUGAACUGAAGAACAGGUAGCAGAAGCUCUUGGUGAUGGGGAGGGGGAUGGGCACUGUGGCAGACAGGCACUGACAUGAAAGAUGCUCAGUGAGUCAGUAAGUGGAUGGCGAGGGAGGGGAGGCAAUGGACCAGUACCGACAUGAAAAUAAUGCUGGUUUCUCCUAAUCAACUCUUUAUUUUACAUACAACUUGUAUAGUAAAAAAACAGCUAAGUAACUGAAAAUACCUUAAAGUAUUUUUUUAUACUUAUUAAAACUACUAUGGGCUUAAUAAACAGUUCAUAAAGAUCCAAAAAACAAAAAUUCAAACUCACUAGAGUACGGAACUAUGUAUAAAAAUAUCGAAAAAAAACUAAAAAUAGACAAGCAGUUUGUGGAAUAACUGUACGUGAUGGAAUUUUUUCACUAUUUUUCCCGAAAUUAGCGUUGAAAAUACUAUAAAAAUCACUUAUUCAAUUUUAAACAAUUUUUAUGUCGCAGACCUGUGUUAUCGGAAACAACAGGCACUUGUAUUCCUUUAUUUAUUUUAAACUGUCUUAGCAUUGUUUAAAAACGACUAAAAGACUAUAUAAAAAAUUCUUUUUUAAACAAUGGUCUUAGUCUCCCUGUUCUUAAAUAACAUAACAUUGUUUUGUGUGUCGUACAGUCGUAUUGUUCACAUCCGUUUUAUAAAAUCGUAGAAUUUUGUUUCAAAAUGAUAACAAAAGACAGUUUGGACAAUCGGUGCAAAGCUAAUAAAGCUAAAAAUGGGACUCUCGACGACGCUUUGUAUGUGUGGUUUUGUGCGGAACGCGAACGUCGUUUAUCAGUGUCUGGACCUAUUAUUCAAGAAUCAGCACUCAAGCUGAAUAAAAAGUUGCCUAAUUUCAUGUUAUUUCAAUUAUAACGGAGUUUAUCUGUAGGUAUACCGUAUUUUAUUAAUUUUUACCAUAUUCUCCUGCUAACCCGAAUUUUCGAUAACCCGGAUCAGCCGUGGUCCCGAUUAAUCCGAGUUAUCGAGGUUCCACUGUACCUACAAAAAAAGACCUCUAGGAGUCAAUGACUAAACAGGAGAUGAUGCAGAAGCUGAACAUUGGAAAGAAGAGAUAACCACCAUCGGUUUACGUGCGUUUCACCCUCUUCAGAUCUUCAGAAGGGCCUGUGAUUUGCUCUGAAUCAAAACGAAAACCAACUGUCUAAUAAUAAGCAAAAUUACACGAAAUAAUUUGCUUGUGGACGCAGUAGCAACAUAUACAGGGUGUCCCCGAAAAUAGUGCGUUCCUUUAAGAGAUGACCACCAUCCGUUAACGUACGUUUCUUCCUCUUGGAGUCGUCAGAACCAGUAGCGUACUGAUAGAUCCGAGGGCCCUGGUUCCAGUUGAGAUGCGGGCCCCCGCUCAAUAAAAGCACAUAUUGUAUAUCAAAAGUUUUUAAUACACA